This 64-nucleotide transfer RNA is filed under the name Leptestheria dahalacensis. RNAcentral's name for it is "tRNA-Phe". Lineage: Eukaryota; Metazoa; Arthropoda; Branchiopoda; Diplostraca; Leptestheriidae. The record is from RNAcentral.
GCUUUUAUAGCUUAUAUAGAGCAUAGCGCUGAAGACGCUAGGGAAAUCAUUAGAUUUUAAAGCA